UCGCCCGCCGUCGUCUCUCGUUCUUAUAGGGAGAAGGUGAUGGCGGAGGAAAUGGAAGAGGCAAAGAGGAGAGGAGGAAAAAGAAAAAGAGACGGAAGAUGCGGAAGAGAAGAGAUUACAAGGGAAGAGCGGAGGAAGACGAGCCUUAUGGAGAUUAGAACUUAUUGGACCACAUUAGAAGAAGAAUAUGCAGCAAGUGUAUGUGAUGGAGGAAAGGGGGAAGUGGGGAGAGGGGAAGAGGAGGGGUUUGGAUGAAACACACCGCCCACAGAUUGCCUACCAUCCCCUUGGGUUUGACCUCCCAGGCACAGAAAAAGGGCUUGCCCUCUACUAAGCAUCUUCACUGUCUUUUCCUUGAAAGCAACCUCUUGGUUGAACAGGCCAUCUGCUACCCUCUCAUGAAUCUCUCUCCUGUUUAGAGUAAGAGGUCCACCAUCCAUUCUUUUCUUUUGAUCUUAUUCUCUUACACCCAUCUGCCUCUGUCCCUUGAUGGAAAAGGGGAUCUGGGUCUUUGCCACUCUCAUUAUUUGCUUGUUACUUUCUGAAACUAAUGGCCAGGAGCUGGGGCAGAGUCUCAUAAUAGAGAGGGUUGAAGGUGAUAUUGGAUUUCCCAUACUUCUUUCAUGUCUUUUCUGUUGACUGCAUCUAUAAACUUAUCUGAGCUGUAGUAAUGGUGUCUUAUAGUUGUUGGGGCUUGGCUAUGACUUUUUUUAGUACUAGUAAUUUUAGUUGAAGGAUCUUUUGUUUGUUACAUGAGGGUCUGCACCUUAUAUCACCGGGCUUGGAAUCUGUUCCUACAAUAUUUGCCAGUUUCAAGAUUUUUUUUUCUUAGUUUGUAAAUUGUAACAAUACGGAAUUGUGCCAGUUUCAUGAUGUUUUGUUUCUUAUUCUUAUCAGAUUGUAUUGUUGGUUAUGUGGAUGUUACUUCCGGCAUCAGAUUUAGUAAGCCUCUGCAAUUUUUCUAAUUCUGCUCAGUUAUCAUUGGUUUAAACAUUUGAAGUUCAUUGGAACAGAUUUAAUUUACUGGUGAACUAUGUUUUUGUGUGGGAUGUAAUCUUAUGAUUGGAAAUAUUACUGCAUUAUAUAUACUUCAGAAGUUCAGAUACAACAUUUCUCUUUGAAGAGAUACUUUAGAUACAACUAAGGCAAGCAAACUGAUAAGCAGGUGCUAAAUACCGCAAAAUGGGAAAAGAAAGUGGUGUAAUUGCAGUGGAAGAAAAGGGUGCCCAGAUGCUGUAACUGCUGAAAAUACUAUGCAUCGACCGAUGGGAAGGUUUAACUUGUUGAUUAUGUUUCUUAGUUCAUGUGAUCAAGGAACUAAUUCCACGGGUGGAGGGCAAGGUUCAUGUGAUUUUGGCUGACAUUUAACCUCCAAGGUUUCUCUAUAGUGGAAGUCAUAGCCAAAGAAUUGUAGCUUUACUACCAACAAGUCAUAAUGGGAAGCAAUCACCAUCCCAUCGAACACCAUCGAGAGUACAUCAGCUGCAGUGUUUAUGUUGCACAAGUAAAGAUCAUUGCAUUUGCCUGAUGAGUCAAAUGAUUGCAAAGCUAUGAGAAGGUACAUGGCCUUUGUCUCCUAUUGGAUUUCUUAUGCAUACCUUCUGGUCUACUGAUGGCGCAAUAGGUUAUGAAGGAAUGGUUUUAGUCAUUACACAUGAUUCUAUUCAGAGGAAAAAAAUUGCAGUUGCAAUGAUGAAGCUUUAAAUGAAGGAUUCUAAGUUCUAGAAGUGUUGCUAUGAAAUAAUAAAUUUGAAAUAGUGUGAAGAACCUCUGUUUCUUGCAGUUUCACUCUAGCAAUCUGGCUUGAUGUUCUUAGUUUUUGUACUUCCAUAUUCAUCCAAGUAUGAGUUGAGUAAAAUAUAUUGGUAGUAGACUUUGGGAA
Musa acuminata subsp. malaccensis (wild Malaysian banana) is the source of this 1882-nucleotide non-coding RNA. The record is from RefSeq and is a predicted model, not a curated record. NCBI's taxonomy places the organism in Eukaryota, Viridiplantae, Streptophyta, Magnoliopsida, Zingiberales, Musaceae.